This is a non-coding RNA of Gopherus evgoodei (Goodes thornscrub tortoise), 74 nucleotides long. The record is from the annotation of a RefSeq genome assembly. Lineage: Eukaryota; Metazoa; Chordata; Testudines; Testudinidae.
GGCACCAUGGCUUAGCUGGUUACAGUGCCUGUUUUGUAAACAGGAGAUCCUGGGUUCAACUCCUAAUGGUGCUU